Molecule: ribosomal RNA, 392 nt
Filed under: uncultured Pseudomonadota bacterium
Lineage: Bacteria; Pseudomonadati; Pseudomonadota
Description: bacterial SSU rRNA
Rfam family: Bacterial small subunit ribosomal RNA
Source: RNAcentral
CGCGUGUAGCAGUGAAAUGCGUAGAUAUGCGGAGGAACACCGAUGGCGAAGGCAGCCCCCUGGGAUGACACUGACGCUCAUGCACGAAAGCGUGGGGAGCAAACAGGAUUAGAUACCCUGGUAGUCCACGCCCUAAACGAUGUCAACUAGCUGUUGGGGCCUUCGGGCCUUAGUAGCGCAGCUAACGCGUGAAGUUGACCGCCUGGGGAGUACGGUCGCAAGAUUAAAACUCAAAGGAAUUGACGGGGACCCGCACAAGCGGUGGAUGAUGUGGAUUAAUUCGAUGCAACGCGAAAAACCUUACCUACCCUUGACAUGUCUGGAAUCCCGAAGAGAUUUGGGAGUGCUCGCAAGAGAACCGGAACACAGGUGCUGCAUGGCUGUCGUCAGCU